This 439-nucleotide ribosomal RNA is filed under the name uncultured bacterium. RNAcentral describes it as "partial 16S ribosomal RNA". It matches the Rfam family "Bacterial small subunit ribosomal RNA", at positions 339 to 795 of the family's 1533-position model. The record is from RNAcentral.
CUACGGGUUGCUCCAGUGGGGAAUAUUGCACAAUGGGGGGAACCCUGAUGCAGCAACGCCGCGUGGAGGAUGACGCAUUUCGGUGUGUAAACUCCUUUUAUAUGUCAAGAAAAUGACGGUAGCAUAUGAAUAAGCACCGGCUAACUCCGUGCCAGCAGCCGCGGUAAUACGGAGGGUGCAAGCGUUACUCGGAAUCACUGGGCGUAAAGGACGCGUAGGCGGGUUGGAAAGUCAGGUGUGAAAUCCUACAGCUUAACUGUAGAACUGCACUUGAAACUUCUAAUCUAGAGUAUGGGAGGGGGAGAUGGAAUUAGUGGUAUAGGGGUAAAAUCCGUAGAUAUCACUAGGAAUACCUAAAGCGAUGGCGACCGCAUGGAACAUUACUGACGAUAAGGAGCGAAAGCGUGGGGAGCAAACAGGAUUAGAUACCCCGGUAGUC